GCCUUCUCCCUGGAGACACAGCCUGAUAUUGAGGAUGUUACUGCUGCAAGCAGCCACCUUUUUCUCCUUCUGGGCUUUUGGGCUCGGAGUGCAGAAGAUGGAGCAGUCCCAGAUUUCCAUUUCUACUGAAGAAAAUAAAAGGGUUGACAUCCCUUGCAAGGUAUCAACUGACAAUUUUGAAGUUGAAGCCAUUCACUGGUACCGGCAGAAACAGGAUCAGGCUUUGGAGCAUCUGAUUCAAGUGAUCUCAACGACAACCUCAGCUCAAGGACAAAACAGCAGAGUUUUAGCAAAGAAAGAUUCUGCAACUCAGUUUUCAACCCUUACUAUCAAAUUUGUAACCAAAGAAGAUGUGGCCGUUUACUACUGCGCUGGGUGGGAGGGAGAGUCACGGUGUGUGGAUUGUGGAGAGGACCCACACAAGAUCCCCUCUCUGGAUCUGUGCCCACCCACAUCCUUCCCGACAGAGAAGCCCAGAGCCAGCUCCCAGCUGCUCUAGCAGUCUCAACACCCUCCUUGCAGCUCCCCUGGGCUCUACAGGAAGCUAUCAUAGAUGCCACUGUCACCUGAGUCCCAGCUGACCCCAGCAUCUGGUUCCAGAUCUCCCUCAGAUGCUACUUUCUACUGAGUUCCAUCCUGGACUGUCGGCUGAUUAGAUAGGGCUGUACCGCUGUCACCUCACUAGUAUCCAGAGAUGCUGGGUAAGUGGCCAGGGCAGAAUAGAGGGAAUCAUGGCAGCCACUGUCACUACAUACAGUGGACACAUCACAUACAAUACCUCUGUGAAAUAACUACUCUGGUCCAGGGUAGAACCAAAGAUGUUGCAGUUUAAAGUACUGAAGCCCAGUGCACCACCCAAGACAAGAAAGUAUGUCUUUCCAACUGGACUAUGGAGACCACCCUGCAAAGUUCCUGGAUGGGGGUUCUGUGGGUGAGUGCUCGGCUCUCUGGGGCUAACUGGGGAAGGAGUAGGUGCCAUGUCUAUGGGAGGCAAAGGGAGGAG
This is a non-coding RNA of Fukomys damarensis (Damara mole-rat), 1003 nucleotides long. Lineage: Eukaryota; Metazoa; Chordata; Mammalia; Rodentia; Bathyergidae. The record is from the annotation of a RefSeq genome assembly.